UGGGAAUUUGGACAAUGGCGAAGCUGAUCCAGCAAUGCCGCGUGUGUGAAGAAGGCCUUCGGGUUGUAAAGCACUUUUGUCCGGAAAGAAAUCCUUGGCUCUAAUACAGUCGGGGGAUGACGGUACCGGAAGAAUAAGCACCGGCUAACUACGUGCCAGCAGCCGCGGUAAUACGUAGGGUGCAAGCGUUAAUCGGAAUUACUGGGCGUAAAGCGUGCGCAGGCGGUUUGCUAAGACCGAUGUGAAAUCCCCGGGCUCAACCUGGGAACUGCAUUUGGGUGACUGGCAGGCUAGAGUAUGGCAGAGGGGGGUAGAAUUCCACGUGUAGCAGUGAAAUGCGUAGAGAUGUGGAGGAAUACCGAUGGCGAAGGCAGCCCCCUGGGCCAAUACUGACGCUCAUGCACGAAAA
Molecule: ribosomal RNA, 409 nt
Filed under: uncultured bacterium
Lineage: Bacteria
Description: partial 16S ribosomal RNA
Rfam family: Bacterial small subunit ribosomal RNA
Source: RNAcentral